This 253-nucleotide ribosomal RNA is filed under the name uncultured bacterium. RNAcentral describes it as "partial 16S ribosomal RNA". It matches the Rfam family "Bacterial small subunit ribosomal RNA", at positions 524 to 776 of the family's 1533-position model. The record is from RNAcentral.
UACGGAGGGGGCCAGCGUUGUUCGGAAUCAUUGGGCGUAAAGGGUGCGUAGGCGGCGAGGUAAGUCGGAUGUGAAAUCCCGGGGCUCAACCCCGGAACUGCAUUCGAUACUGCUUUGCUUGAGUACUGGAGAGGAGACUGGAAUUUACGGUGUAGCAGUGAAAUGCGUAGAUAUCGUAAGGAAGACCAGUGGCGAAGGCGAGUCUCUGGACAGUUACUGACGCUGAGGCACGAAGGCCAGGGGAGCAAACGGG